AUUUCAAGAACAAAACUUAUUGCUGGAUGCAGCCCAUGCCAGUAUCACAAAUGAACUACAGACUGUUCAGAAUGAGAAAACCCAACUCCAAGCACAUCUGGAUCAUUUAAUCCUUGAGCAUAACCAGUGUAUCCAGAAAGCACAGGAUGCUGAAAAGAGAACAGCUGUGCAAAAAGAGCUGCUAGAAUCAACUAUUGCAAGAUUGCGAGGUGAAUUGGAAGCAUCAAUGCAAGAGAAGAAGUCUCUGCUAGAGGAGAAAGAAAGAUUUCAGAGGGAGGGCUAUUUGUGAAGUCUGCUCUGCCUCAGAGACUCCCUGAUUGACCCCUUUUCUGAGAGGAUGUGCUAUCUCUGCAGUCUUAAUAAAACAGAAAAAGAAAUAGUGCAAGAAAGAUGCAAUUUGGAAAAGGAAUUAGCUAAAAACAAGGUAGACAUAAAUACAUUAACUCAUA
RNAcentral lists this small RNA (449 nucleotides) under Pan troglodytes (chimpanzee). RNAcentral's name for it is "processed transcript". Lineage: Eukaryota; Metazoa; Chordata; Mammalia; Primates; Hominidae. The record is from RNAcentral.